RNAcentral lists this ribosomal RNA (480 nucleotides) under uncultured bacterium. RNAcentral's name for it is "bacterial SSU rRNA". The stretch from base 1 to 318 matches the Rfam family "Bacterial small subunit ribosomal RNA", at positions 51 to 400 of the family's 1533-position model. The record is from RNAcentral.
ACACAUGCAAGUCGAACGCUCUCUUCGGAGAGAGUGGCAGACGGGUGAGUACGCGUGGGAAUCUACCCUGGGGAUGGGGAAUAACCGCUGGAAACGGCGCUAAUACCGCAUACGCCUGGAGAGGGAAAGCUAUAUGCGCCCUUGGAGGGCCCGCGUCUGAUUAGGUAGUUGGUGGGGUAAUGGGGUACCAGGGGCGAGAUCCGUAGCUGGUCUGCCAGGAUGAUCAGCCACAGUGGGACUGAAACAGGCCAAUACUCCUAUGGGAGGCAGCAGUGGGGAAUAUUGGACAAUGGGGAAACCCUGAUCCAGCCAUGCCGCGGUGCGUGAAGGACGGCCUCAGGGGUGUAAAGGGCCUUCGGGGGGGAAGAUCAUGAGAGGACCCGUCGAACACGGCCCGUUAUCUGCAGGGCCAUAAGGCGGGUGUAAUAGUCCCCUACUGAACCUCCGGUGGUCCUUGGGUGUUCGUGUAUGAGGGGAACA